UGCAGAAUCCCGCGAACCAUCGAGUCUUUGAACGCAAGUUGCGCCCGAGGCCAGCCGGCUAAGGGCACGUCUGCCUGGGCGUCAAGC
Molecule: ribosomal RNA, 87 nt
Filed under: Sievekingia herrenhusana
Lineage: Eukaryota; Viridiplantae; Streptophyta; Magnoliopsida; Asparagales; Orchidaceae
Description: partial 5.8S ribosomal RNA
Rfam family: 5.8S ribosomal RNA
About the family: 5.8S ribosomal RNA (5.8S rRNA) is a component of the large subunit of the eukaryotic ribosome. It is transcribed by RNA polymerase I as part of the 45S precursor that also contains 18S and 28S rRNA.
Source: RNAcentral